AAAACCUAACCUAUUCAAAGCUAAUACUACUGUUCUUUUAUGGUAUGCUAAGUUCAAAUACACACAUGAGUUAAGGAAGUGUUUUUAAGGAUAAGGGCAUUCUAGAUGCCAAAAGGAAUUAUAAAUCAAAUUCAGCCAUUGAUAUCAAGGAAUUAUUUCAUGCUUGCUAGUUCAUUCAAUGCACAAGUAUUUUUCUCUCAAGCCUUAAGGAAUUACAAACUUUCACAAUAUCAAUUAUUCAGGUUUUUGAACUUGCAUUUUCAGAUUGAUGCUUGUUGGAAAUCUGGAACAAAAUUAUCACAUAAUAGAACUUCUUUCUUUUAAAUGGAAUGAAACCCAUUUUGGCCAUGCCUAUCUUGCAGUUUCUGUGUCAUCUGUUACCAUGAAGGCAACUUUAUCAAUUUUUUCUUAAAGGGGCUUAAAUUGGCCUAAAACUUUAUUUCAUAGUUUACCCUUUGACAAACCCUAGAUUUUCAGGUCAUUUUUUUAAAAAAAAAUUUAUUCUUGAAUGAGUUGUCCCUUGUCUAUUGCCUUAUCGACUUUCAUCAAAUUGAAUUGACUCUUGUAAUGAUCUGAGGAUCAUGCAUUUUGCAUUAAUGUUCCGUAACUUCAAGUUUGAUCAUAUAUUUGAAGUUUGUUGAAUAAUCAAAUUGCAUAAACAUCAACUGAUCAUAAUUCAAUUUUGAAUUGUAUGUAGCAGUUGUUGAUGUUGUAUCACUAGUUUUUAUUAGGAACACAUUAGAAGCUGAAAAAAAAAACAAAAACCCUAGUUUUAGGGGAUUGCCGACACUCAAAAUGGUCCAAUCAGCAGUCCCAUCCCACAUUAGAGUGCCAAUCGGUCCUCCUUGGUCCAAUGGCUUCUAAACUUCUGUGGCAGCUCCUCCUCAUUGUCAUGCGCAUGGAACAACCUUGGUUGGUCAGUCUUGAGCUUGGUUGGAGCAGAUUACAACCUUGGCACUUGUAGGGUUAGUUAGUUACAAGUAGAUAGGGUCAAACAGGGCUCAUGCACAUGUAACACAUUAAUCACUUGUAAAUUUUUUGGAGCACAUGCUUAACUAGGAGCCAGUAGAAGUGAACCAUGUGUGGCCAAUUAGAAAUUAGAAUAGGGCAUGAGAUGUAAAUAGAUUCAUGAAACCAUCAAUUGGGAAAUCAAUAAAGAAUAACCAUUUUUUUUUUAAGAAUAACCAUUUUGUUUUAUAAGUUUUGUUUCUCUCUAAUCUUUUUUUGGAGGUAGAGACUCCCUUGAAGAAGUCUCAUCAUUUUUAGGUGGUGUUUCUUUUGAAGUAGUCACAAGUCAUUCAAUUAAUCUCCAUUUGUAUGCAACCCAUCAAUUGGAUCCAUCACCAACCAAAUCCCUAGUCACAAUUUGAACCCUAGUCUCAUUUCCCUUAAGCCCUAUCUCAUUUCACUUCAAGAACUCUCAUCAAUCAUUGAAAUCACCUUAACCAAGGGCCGUACCUGAAACCUGAAUGUCUUCAACAUCAAACCUCUAAGCUUCAAAACCAUCUAGAAUUUACAUCGAACUCCCAAAACAAACCCAUUCUUAGGUGAUAUUCAAACCCCUUUGGUUCCCAAAACCCUAAAUCCAAACAUUUCUAGACCAAGAACUCACUUGAAUCUUCAAGGAACACUAACCCUAAUUGUUUUCCUAACAGUUUGAAAGAUCACUCAUUUUCUACCGUCAUCACCAAUUUAUGUUAUUGUUGCACUUUUCGAUGAAUCUGUAGUGGCAUUAUAUUUUUUAGAUCUCUCCAAAAAUCCUGAAAAUUUAUUUAACUCAAAACAAAAGUAAAAAAUGUAUAUACCAAUAAACAUUUAUUGUAAAUAAACUUAUAUAUAUAUAUACACACACAUGUAUGUGUGUGUAUUAAAUUUUAUUUUUUUAAAUGCUUAGAGUGCGUUUGUUUCGCCUGAAAAGCAUUUCAAGAAAUCAUUUUACACCCUGCCGUGUGUUUGGUUGCACAUGAAAAAUUUGGUCAAACGGAAAAUCAUUUCCGUUGACGGUAAAAUGUGGCUGGCUGAAGUGUAAAAUAGAUUAUAGAUCUAUUUUACCGUCAAACCAUUUCCAGGAAAACAAAAAAAGCAUCAAACCAAGAGAGAGAGAGAGAGAGAGAGAGGCCGGUCACUGUCACACAGAGAGAGAGAGUGAGACAAAGCUGCCCACCGUCAAAGAGAGAGAGGCCGGUCUCCUGAACUUGAGAUCGACGGCACCGCCGUCUGGGCCGUGCCUCUCCCUCAUCACCGAUCGCCAGCUAUCAUCGAUCCACAAACACCCAAGACCCACCUCUCCAAUCGCCAGCCAUGCACUGACGAGAUAGGUUGAGCUCUGAUCUUGACAACCGACCGUAGGCCAUGCACCGUCGUCACCACCCAAGACUGAUCUCAUCGCCACCACUAAAGAUCGUCGCCACCACUGAAGACCGAUCUCUCUUUCCCGAUCUAUCUCUCUUUCCCUCAACCUCUCAAUCUUUCUUUCUUUGAUCUCUGAUUUUUUUUUUUUUGGUUGUUGUGGUGGUGUGGGUGGUGGUGUUUUGGUGGUUUUUGUGUUGUGUGGUGAUGGGUUUUGUGUGGAUAGUGGUGGAUUUUUUGUGGGUGGUGGUGGAUUUUCUAAUAUAAAAUUUGUUUGGAAGCUGAGAAAAUGUGAAAAAUUUGUAGGAAAAUAGCAUUUUCAAAAUGUUACCAAACAUUGGAAAUCGUUUUCCAAAACAUUUUCCAUUGCACGCCCAAACGCCCGGAUUUUAAUUUCCUUACGGGAAUUCAUUUUCUCUUGCAUUCAUUUUACAAUCGGAAUUCAAUUUAAAUCGAACCAAACACAGCCUUAAUAACAAAGUUCAAUGGAUUUCUUUUCUCUAAUAUGAAUCCUAUUGGUGUCAACACAUAUAUUGAUUGGUCAAUUGGGCAACAUUAGCCAUCGCUAUAUAGUUAAAUAAUAGUAGAAGCAAAUAGUUCCCUAGACUUUUAAGAUUCUUGCUUGCAACAAUACUUGCAAAACCCUAUGCAAUCUAAUCUUACAACAAUACUUGCAGAACCCUAUGCAAUCUGAGAACCAUCCAUACUAUUUGCAUAAUGUUUUUAUUUUUUAUACUCCCAGCCUUCCCAUUUGUGUCUUUAACAGCCUUUAAUAGUAGUUGAGCAUUUUGGUAAGUUAUUAGGAUUCUAUAAUUCAAUUCAUCACCUAGAUUUUGGAGAAAUAAUUCAAAUCCUUUGAAAAUCCAUAUUUUCUAAACAUAUCUUCGUUGUUUUCAAUUAUUCUUGCUUAUAACAUUUAUAUAUUGGCAGCAUGUGGUAAAUUGACAUAAACAAUCAAAUUGAUCAGCUACAAUUCUAAGGUUAUCUAUUCUUCAUAUUGUGUAAAUAAUAACUAAUAAUGAAACAGGAAACAAUUUCACUAUCCAAUCAAUAGUAAUGGGUAUAUUGACAAUAAAAGGCCAAAAUGCAAAAACACCUCUUGGGAUUUGGGUCAACUGACCCCUAGGGUUUCAAUUCCUCCUUAUAACUCUCUGAGGAUUAUAAAUCUGUGAAAGUGAUCCCUAUGUAUUACCAAAAAAAUCAUUUUAACUAAAAUUUAAUGAAAAUAAUAUAAAAUCCAAUUAAACUAUUUUUAAAAACAAUUAAAUAAUUUUAAAAAUAAAAAUUAAUAAAAACAGAUAUGAAAUCUUUCUCUCUCUCUCUCUCUCUCUCUCUCUCUCCCUUACAACUUGGACCUUCCUGGCUGAGUCUCAUGCUCAUCAAUUGUUUGAUUGCCGCUGCUCACCACCAUCUCCGUCAAUUGGGUGAUGAGAGAUCUUUGAAAGUGUCAAGAACUGUGCCUGAAAACCUGUUGCUGUUGAGAUGGAGUAGUGACAUAUCAGUGAGUAAAGAUAGUUCCUUGACAAGAGUGCCUUGAACGAAGAUUUGCAUGAUUGACGUCUUUCCCUGCAACCACUGUAACAGAUUACCAUGCUAAAGAGCAGUAUAAGCUCUGCUGAGCUUUCUAAGCUUUGGAACUGAAGACCCAAAACCCGUCGGAGUUUUGGAUUUGAAGUCAUUUUUUGUGGAAUUUUAGGGCUUGCGCAAGUUGAAACUGAGGGAAUGGAUUGUAUCUGUUAGUGAAUUGUAGCUUUUGCUGAUUAUGCCAGGGGAAAUUGUUAGACUCUAUUUGGCUGUUGGGAAAAUUGAGGAAAAUAAAAUCAACGGAGAUGGUGGUAAGCAGUGGCAAUUGACGGAGAAGACGAAGCCUGGAACUAGGCCAUGGAGGUCCGAGUUGUGGCAAAGAGAGAAAGUGUAAGAGAGGGAGACAAAGAGAAAAAGAGAGUUUUUGUCUUUGUUUUUAUUAAUUAUUUUCAUUGUUCUAUAGCAUAUGAGUUGUGGUCUAUGGUUUUUUGUUUGUUUGGUAUCCAUUGGGCUAUGCUGUAUAAAGUUAGUGAGCUGUUAGCUUCUUGGCAAAGCAAGUUCGGUAGACAUCGAAAUAUUGAUUUAUGGAGGUUUGUGUCGCA
Molecule: long non-coding RNA, 4475 nt
Organism: Quercus robur (English oak)
Lineage: Eukaryota; Viridiplantae; Streptophyta; Magnoliopsida; Fagales; Fagaceae
Exons: 2
Source: RefSeq, a predicted model, not a curated record